RNAcentral lists this ribosomal RNA (427 nucleotides) under uncultured bacterium. RNAcentral describes it as "partial 16S ribosomal RNA". It matches the Rfam family "Bacterial small subunit ribosomal RNA", at positions 355 to 774 of the family's 1533-position model. The record is from RNAcentral.
UGGGGAAUAUUGCACAAUGGGCGCAAGCCUGAUGCAGCCAUGCCGCGUGUAUGAAGAAGGCCUUCGGGUUGUAAAGUACUUUCAGCGGGGAGGAAGGUGUUGAGGUUAAUAACCUCAGCAAUUGACGUUACCUGCAGAAGAAGCACCGGCUAACUCCGUGCCAGCAGCCGCGGUAAUACGGAGGGUGCAAGCGUUAAUCGGAAUUACUGGGCGUAAAGCGCACGCAGGCGGUCUGUCAAGUCGGAUGUGAAAUCCCCGGGCUCAACCUGGGAACUGCAUUCGAAACUGGCAGGCUAGAGUCUUGUAGAGGGGGGUAGAAUUCCAGGUGUAGCGGUGAAAUGCGUAGAGAUCUGGAGGAAUACCGGUGGCGAAGGCGGCCCCCUGGACAAAGACUGACGCUCAGGUGCGAAAGCGUGGGGAGCAAACA